RNAcentral lists this ribosomal RNA (305 nucleotides) under uncultured bacterium. Its description in RNAcentral is "bacterial SSU rRNA". It matches the Rfam family "Bacterial small subunit ribosomal RNA", at positions 337 to 641 of the family's 1533-position model. The record is from RNAcentral.
ACCUACGGAGGCAGCAGUGAGGAAUAUUGGUCAAUGGUCGGGAGACUGAACCAGCCAAGCCGCGUGAGGGAGGAAGGUACAGAGUAUCGUAAACCUCUUUUGUCAGGGAACAAAGGCGGGGACGUGUCCCCGGAUGAGUGUACCUGAAGAAAAAGCAUCGGCUAACUCCGUGCCAGCAGCCGCGGUAAUACGGAGGAUGCGAGCGUUAUCCGGAUUUAUUGGGUUUAAAGGGUGCGCAGGCGGUCUGUUAAGUCAGCGGUCCAAGCCCCGGGCUCAACCCCGGCCCGCCGUUGGAACUGGCCGCC